AUGAACGCUGGCGGCGUGCUUAAUACAUGUAAGUCGAACGAGGAGUUUUUGUCUUCGGAUGGAAUCUCUUAGUGGCGAACGGGUGAGUAACACGUUGGUGACCUGCCCCGAAGCGGGGGAUAACAGUUCGAAAGGAUUGCUAAUACCCCAUGUGAUCAUUGGGAUUAGAUGCCUGAUGAUUAAAGGAGUAAUUCGCUUUGGGAGGGACCUGCGUCCCAUCAGCUAGUUGGUAGGGUUACGGCCUACCAAGGCGAUGACGGGUAGGGGACCUGAGAGGGUGACCCCCCACACUGGCACUGAAACACGGGCCAGACACCUACGGGUGGCAGCAGUAGGGAAUUUUGGACAAUGGGCGAAAGCCUGAUCCAGCAACGCCGCGUGUGCGAUGAAGGCCUUCGGGUUGUAAAGCACUUUUAGGGGAGAUGAGAAUGGACAGUACCCCCUGAAUAAGCCUCGGCUAACUACGU
RNAcentral lists this ribosomal RNA (467 nucleotides) under uncultured bacterium. RNAcentral's name for it is "bacterial SSU rRNA". It matches the Rfam family "Bacterial small subunit ribosomal RNA", at positions 29 to 506 of the family's 1533-position model. The record is from RNAcentral.